AUACGUAGGGGGCAAGCGUUGUCCGGAAUUACUGGGCAUAAAGAGUGCGUAGGCGGCAAGUUAAGUCAGAUGUGAAAGUCCAAGGCUCAACCAUGGAAUUGCAUAUGAAACUGGUUUGCUUGAGUGCAGGAGAGGAGAGCGGAAUUCCUAGUGUAGCGGUGAAAUGCGUAGAUAUUAGGAAGAACACCAGUGGCGAAGGCGGCUCUCUGGACUGUAACUGACGCUCAGGCACGAAAGCGUGGGUAGCGAACAGGAUUAGAUACCCUGGUAGUCCACGCCGUAAACGAUGAGUGCUAGGUGUCGGGGGUCGAACCUCGGUGCCGGAGUUAACACAUUAAGCACUCCGCCUGGGGAGUACGGUGGCAAGACUUAA
This 373-nucleotide ribosomal RNA is filed under the name uncultured bacterium. RNAcentral's name for it is "bacterial SSU rRNA". It matches the Rfam family "Bacterial small subunit ribosomal RNA", at positions 523 to 898 of the family's 1533-position model. The record is from RNAcentral.